Shewanella loihica PV-4 is the source of this 86-nucleotide regulatory RNA element. It matches the Rfam family "c-di-GMP-I riboswitch aptamer". From Rfam's summary of the family: GEMM was predicted in a large-scale screen for bacterial structured RNA regulatory elements. Genes associated with GEMM are involved in a diverse array of functions, including chemotaxis regulation, signal transduction, secretion and chitin. The record is from Rfam. NCBI's taxonomy places the organism in Bacteria, Pseudomonadati, Pseudomonadota, Gammaproteobacteria, Alteromonadales, Shewanellaceae.
CUCUCGAAACGGCAAGCAUUAAGUAAUUAAUGUACGCAAAGCCACAGGCCCUAAUUGCAUAGCAAAAGGGUGGCUGGGUUACCGAA